UUAGUCUCGGAUUCUAUGCGUAUUAAUUACAUAGAAGAUUAGCAUGACCCCUAUACAAGGAUGACACACAUAAAUCGAGAAAUGGUCCAAAUUUUG
RNAcentral lists this small nuclear RNA (96 nucleotides) under Spinacia oleracea (spinach). Lineage: Eukaryota; Viridiplantae; Streptophyta; Magnoliopsida; Caryophyllales; Amaranthaceae. The record is from RNAcentral.